UGAACCUUAUCGUUAGAGGAAGGAGAAGUCGUAACAAGGUUUCCGUAGGUGAACCUGCGGAAGGAUCAUUG
Molecule: ribosomal RNA, 71 nt
Filed under: Sarmentypnum exannulatum
Lineage: Eukaryota; Viridiplantae; Streptophyta; Bryopsida; Hypnales; Amblystegiaceae
Description: partial 18S ribosomal RNA
Rfam family: Eukaryotic small subunit ribosomal RNA
Source: RNAcentral